GGUUGCGGGGACGUGGCGGGGCUGGUGGGUUCCGGCCUCCCCCGCUCCCCUUUCCACUUAGGGCUGUUGCAGCCUGCAACAAUGUUCCUCCACCACCCCUUUGCGUCGUUUAGGCGUCUGGUUGCAACUGUGGUUGCAAAAUUCCAGUUUUCUCGCUCCUGCAGCAGUUACUGGGGAGAACCUCAGGGCUCUCCUGGCGUGGUUUUGUCCGUAGACACUCUUCCGUCUCGUCCCUGAGGUCCCAAGGGGUCGAGCGGGCGCUGGAAGGGAGGGAAAGUGAGCUGAGGCCCGGGAUGGCUCCUCGCUCCUCGCAAGUCCGCCUUCCCUGAGGACUUCUCCUAGACCAGCCCUCCAGGGCUUUCUGUUUUUCUUUUCUUCUUUUUUAUUUAUUUUUAACUUCUGAAGUCUUCUCCCCUUCCUCUAGCCCUUUCUUGGCUAUUUGCUGUUUCUCACCAAUAACAGCCUUUGGAUUGUCUUCGUUUCCCUGAUAACAAAAGACUAAAUCUUUCUCUCUAAAUGCCCCAGUGCCUCCUCAGAGGGACCCUGUUUAGCACUGGCCGUGCUGGGGCGGUGAGGAGGAGACCCGCAAGUCCCCCCACCCUGCAGAAGGGCUCACCGGUGGGACCGCUCAUCAGAGCUGUUGAGCCCUCCUGUAGCCGGGCCUGGGCGUGUGGGCGGGGUUUCUAAUCCCAGACGGCCAAGAAGAGCUGGUUAGGGUGCUGCCUUCCACCUGAGUCCUCAGGGCCUUGCUCCCCUCAUCUCCUGCCCACUUCACGUCCCUCCUGACACCUCGCACCCCUCCUUCCCAGCACUUGUGACAAGUCCCAGUUUUCCCAUGUUUUCCAGGAGUCAUCCACCUCUGCCCUAGGAUGGAAGCUCUGAGAAGGCGAGGGCCACAUCUGCUUUGCUCACUGUCAGCAUGUAGCCUGGUACCUGACUCCCAGCAGGUACUCAGAUAUGCCUUUGCUGGGUGCUGGAGCUGAGGGAGUGUGGUUUCUCUGUGCUAACGUUGCCCCACCUGAGUUCAAAGGUGAGAAACCCAUCUUUCCCCCUGAGUGGUUCAGUUCACCAAAUGUUUGUGGGAGAAUUUAUGGUGUUUCUGGCUGUUUUGGGUGGAAGUACGGAUGGAAGGGAUAACACCCCAAGCUAAAUAAUAAGGCUGCCUCCUCCACCCCCUGUUUAAAGCACCUGCUCGGUGACUCAAGCUGAGCUGGAAAUGAAGUGUGGUCCUGUGAUGGGGGAGCGUGACAGUUUGGUCUCAAGACCCCUUGAUACUCUUAAAAAUUAUGGAGGGCCCCCAAGUAUUUUGUUUAUGUGUGUUAUGUCUUUCAGUAUGCAUCGUAUUAGAAUUAAAACUGAAAAAUUUGUAAAACACAAGAAUAUACAAGCACACAUUCCUGUAGUCAUCAGGGUGAUGAUAUCACAUAUCAUGUCCCUUCUGGAAAACUCCAUCAUAUACCUGUGAGACAAUGAGGGUCAGGAGAGCAAGUGACAUCUUAGUAUUGUGAAAAUAGUUUUGGCUCUGAGAAUCCCCUGAAAAGGCCUCAGGGACCGCACUUUGAGAACCGCUCCCUAGAACCAUGUCACCACUUUUAGGGAUCUGUAUUCUCCACUGCCACCCUCCUCUCUCCAGUUGCUGGGGCCACACCCUGGGAGCGAGGGCCCCAGUUCUAUGUGAGCGAUUGUUGGGUUGAGCUUUAUUACUGUUAUCCGUACUGAUUUAUCAGGCCCUUUUCAAAAGGAAGUUCGUGGGUGCCAGCGCACCUGUGUGGGCCCUGCAUUCCUGGAGGUAUUGUCACGUCCUCUCUCCCCUCCCCCGGGUGUGGCAUCCCUCUUUACUUGGACUUUCCUUUCUAGAAGGGAGGGCCAGACCAGAGCUUCCUGGAUCUCCUGAGCGGAAUUUGCUCUUCGGCCUGCGUCACAAGUGCGCCUGGGUUGUGUAAGGCAGGAAUGUGGAAAAUAGCUUGAAUUUGAUAAAGGUGUUGUGGAGGAGGGGAACCCUUUCAUCCCAAGAGCUGUUAUGGCCACAAGUUUGCUCGCGGGGCCUGAAUUUCAGCCUUUCUUGAGAAGCAUGAAGCCUGGAGAAAUGGCAUAGAGGAGUUUAUCUUCCUCUUUCUUUGGUUUGAAGACUGAACCCUAAUCUCAUUUCUCUCCAUCACCCCUCCCCACCCCCAAAUCCUCAAGUUAAAGCUGAUCAGGACCUACGUGUGGGAUGAAAAGCUAGUCCCGUGCCUGGGAGGAUUCAUACUCAGUGAGUUAGGGGGAUGAGUAAGGUCUCUUUAAGUCUGAAGAAAAUCUAUUUGUUUCUGGAAAGUGCCAAUGGGAAAUUUCAAAAUGGAGCAAGGUGUGCCGGGCAGCCUUCUGGAUUGGAGGGUUUUUGCCUGUGUUCAGAGGCAAAAACUUUGGGGUGAAGGUGUUUCCCACACAGUUGAAGAGCCUGAAGGCGGGCUUGACCCUGUGCCCCAGGCUGAAAGCUGCCCUCUCCUCGGUUUCAUUAGCCUGAGGUGCUGCCAAAAUUGCUCUCCUGAAAGAUAGCACCAGUCAUCACCAGAUUUUAAGGUUGGAAAGUGCGCUGUUGAACUCACUCCUCCUUUUGCCGAUCAAGAGGCUGGAAGGGGAAAGAACUUGGUCAAGGUCACAGACAGCGUUGCUCCUGGCUCUCAGGACUUCGGAUUCAGAUUGCAACUUAUACCAUCAGCUUUCCUGGUUCAUCCAUCUUCCAGAGGGCAGACUGUGGGACUCCUCAGUCUCCAUAAGCGCCUGAGUCAAUUCUAUAAUAAAUCUCCUCUUAUGUAUAUAUCUAUAGAUCUUAUUGGUUCCGUUUCUCUGGAGAACCCUGACUAAUGCAUCACUGUAAUUUUUGUCUCCUUCUGAUCUGGCUGAACGGAACCCCAUGAGACCUGGGCACUCCUGGCCUCCACACCUUCGCUGGUGCCAUUCCUUCUUCCUGGAGCAUCCCUUGGAUCUUUGCAUGCCCCAGACCAACCCUGCAAGUUCUGCUUCAACACCACCUCUUCCAAAACGUCUUCCCAGAAGCCCCCAGUCAGAAAUGACUUCUCCCAGCUCUUGUCUCAUCAAGCAUGAUUGUGCCUCUGUGACAGCAGUUCUCACAGACUUCUCUCAGCGUAGCUGUCUUCCAGCUUCCUGCGAAUGGCACCGCCUCCAUCAACUUGCUCAAGCCGGGAGCCAAGUGUUGUUCCAGAGCCCUCGCCCCUCACCGCCCUUCAAAGUCAUCCAUUUUUGCCCAUCUCCAGUCUGCUCUUCACAGAGAUCUUUCUAACAUACAAACCUGUAUUGCCACUACGAUGCUGAAAACCUUCUGUGGUUCCCAUUAGUCUGAGGCUGAAGAUGAAAACUUCUCAGCCACAAUGCCUUGACUGGUGUGGCUCCACCUGUCCCUUCAGCUUCAUGUUUUUGUUUUGUUUUGUUUGAGAUAUAAUUCAAAUGCCAUAGAAUUCACCCUUUUAAAGUGUACAAUUCAGUGUUUUUUUUUACUAUAUUAACAGAAUUGUACAACUAUCACCACUGUUUAAUUCCAGAAUAUGUUCAUCACCCCCAAAAGAAACCCCAUUCCCAUGAGCAGUCACUCUCCAUUACCCCACCCCCACCCCCACCCUCGCUCCUGGCAACUACGAAUCUACUUGCUGUCUCUAUGGAUUUGCCUGUUUUGGACAUUUCGUAUAAGUGGAAUCUUGCAAUAUGUGGUCUUUUUUGGCUGGCUUCCUUCACUUAGCAUACUGUUUUCAAGGUUCAUCCAUGUUGUAGCAUGUAUCAGUAUUUCAUUCCUUUUUAUGGCUGAAUAGUAUUCCACUGUGUGGAUAUACCAUCGUUUGUUUAUGCAUUCACCAGUUGAUGGACAUUUUGGUUGUUUCUCCUUUUUGGCUAUUAUGGAUAAUGCUUCUGUGAAUGUUUGUGUUCAAAUUCUUGUGUGAACAUAUAUUUUCAUUUCUCUUGGGUAUAUGCCUAGGAGUGGAAUUGCUGGUUCAGAUGAUGCUCUAGGUGUAAGUUUGAGGAGUUGCCAGACUGUUCUCUCCAGCAGCUGUCUCACUUCACAUGCCCUCCAGCAGCGUAGGAGGGUUCUUACCUCCCCACCUCCUCCUCUAGGCUCCUCUUGUACCUCACUGCUCCUGGCUCUCUGGGCUCUAACCCCAUCCCUCCUGUUAGUUCUGACAUCAGCCUGAUUCCCUGUC
This is a long non-coding RNA of Diceros bicornis minor, 4190 nucleotides long. RefSeq lists it as uncharacterized. The record is from RefSeq and is a predicted model, not a curated record. NCBI's taxonomy places the organism in Eukaryota, Metazoa, Chordata, Mammalia, Perissodactyla, Rhinocerotidae. The transcript has 4 exons.